Molecule: ribosomal RNA, 305 nt
Filed under: [Candida] sp. Levazot7
Lineage: Eukaryota; Fungi; Ascomycota; Saccharomycetes; Saccharomycetales
Description: eukaryotic LSU rRNA
Rfam family: Eukaryotic large subunit ribosomal RNA
Source: RNAcentral
CGAGUUGUAGAUUGCAGGUUGGAGUCUGUGUGGAAGGCGGUGUCCAAGUCCCUUGGAACAGGGCGCCCAGGAGGGUGAGAGCCCCGUGGGAUGCCGGCGGAAGCAGUGAGGCCCUUCUGACGAGUCGAGUUGUUUGGGAAUGCAGCUCCAAGCGGGUGGUAAAUUCCAUCUAAGGCUAAAUACUGGCGAGAGACCGAUAGCGAACAAGUACUGUGAAGGAAAGAUGAAAAGCACUUUGAAAAGAGAGUGAAACAGCACGUGAAAUUGUUGAAAGGGAAGGGUAUUGCGCCCGACAUGGGGAUUGC